GAUGAACGCUGGCGGCGUGCCUAAUACAUGCAAGUCGAGCGAACGGACGAGAAGCUUGCUUCUCUGAUGUUAGCGGCGGACGGGUGAGUAACACGUGGAUAACCUACCUAUAAGACUGGGAUAACUUCGGGAAACCGGAGCUAAUACCGGAUGAUAUUUUGAACCGCAUGGUUCAAAAGUGAAAGACGGUCUUGCUGUCACUUAUAGAUGGAACCGCGCUGCAUUAGCUAGUUGGUAAGGUAACGGCUUACCAAGGCAACGAUGCAUAGCCGACCUGAGAGGGUGAUCGGCCACACUGGAACUGAGACACGGUCCAGACUCCUACGGGAGGCAACAGUAGGGAAUCUUCCGCAAUGGGCGAAAGCCUGACGGAGCAACGCCGCGUGAGUGAUGAAGGUCUUCGGAUCGUAAAACUCUGUUAUUAGGGAAGAACAUAUGUGUAAGUAACUGUGCACAUCUUGACGGUACCUAAUCAGAAAGCCACGGCUAACUACGUG
RNAcentral lists this ribosomal RNA (497 nucleotides) under uncultured bacterium. Its description in RNAcentral is "partial 16S ribosomal RNA". It matches the Rfam family "Bacterial small subunit ribosomal RNA", at positions 28 to 507 of the family's 1533-position model. The record is from RNAcentral.